Molecule: ribosomal RNA, 253 nt
Filed under: uncultured bacterium
Lineage: Bacteria
Description: partial 16S ribosomal RNA
Rfam family: Bacterial small subunit ribosomal RNA
Source: RNAcentral
UACGGAGGGGGCUGGCGUUGUUCGGAAUUACUGGGCGUAAAGCGCACGUAGGCGGCUUUGUAAGUUAGAGGUGAAAGCCCGGAGCUCAACUCCGGAAUUGCCUUUAAGACUGCAUCGCUCGAAUCAUGGAGAGGUGAGUGGAAUUCCGAGUGUAGAGGUGAAAUUCGUAGAUAUUCGGAAGAACACCAGUGGCGAAGGCGACUCACUGGACAUGUAUUGACGCUGAGGUGCGAAAGCGUGGGGAGCAAACAGG